Long non-coding RNA from Ornithorhynchus anatinus (platypus), 1314 nucleotides. RefSeq lists it as uncharacterized. The transcript has 2 exons. Lineage: Eukaryota; Metazoa; Chordata; Mammalia; Monotremata; Ornithorhynchidae. The record is from RefSeq and is a predicted model, not a curated record.
AUAUAUCUGUUCAAAAAAAGCUUUUUCAAUUGGUGUCUGGUACACUGAAUGCCAAUUAGUUGCUUGACUCUUAUAGGAAGCUCCGGUAUUGACUUGCCAGUGAACAUUUUGUUUUUCUUAAUUAGAGUCCUUCCCUUGCUCUAUAAAAUACCUUCCUGAAGCGUUUAAAACCAACAGCACUCAAUACAAUCACUUUUCAGCCAUUGUGUGAGCUGAAAUAGGCCAGUCAAGUGCUGUUGGAAAAGGAUCGCCCCACAUUUUCUGUUGGAUCCUCAUUUUGUCCUCUAAAUUGAUGCUUUUCAAAGUACUCCAAAUCUCGCCACAAAACGUGUCCCAUUUGUUUCCAUACUAGGUCUCCUACUUAAUCUUCUCCAGUGGCUCCAUGCCUGAACUGCUUAGAGGAGAGCAAACUACAUAGCCUGAGUGAGGCAAAACACGCCAUUCACAAUAAAACAAUCUGAAAGAACCAUUAUGAUUCUGGACCUAAUGAUGUUUCCUAUUUUUGAAAGACAAUCAUGUGGUGGUUACAUUCUCGAAGAACUCUGUGUUAAGAUACAGCACGCCUGCCUUGCCAGACGCCAUUCUACCCAAAAUGCAUGGUGAACAUUAGGGGAGGGCUGACUCUUCUUCAUUGUCAAGUGGGUCACUCUAUUCUAUAACUGAUUCGGCCCCAUUUUUGUUUGGUUAGGCCAGAUUUCCGAGUAUACUACCAAGUACAAAGCACACGAUUGUCAUUUUAAAGUGUCUAGCAGUCAAGACAAGGAACUACAUUUAUUUAGGAUCACGAGCAUCCCAACGAACGCUCAGUUUGCAAGCUCUGGAACUCUGCUCAAAACAAAUCCCUGAAGGGGCACAGAAAACCGGGGUCAACAACGAGCAAAAUGGUGAACUCACCCAACUGCGGCAUCCAGAACCACAGUAACUGGGACAUUCAGGUUUCUGAGGGCAUUUGCCAUUUUCUUCCUGCCAAUGACAUUCUGAGGGUUACAAAAAGUAACUCAAAUGAAAUUCCCGCGACAAACUGGCAAUUUAGAAGAGGAUCGAAGUGGUUGAGACUCAAGUGAUAUCAAUGGGCUCCAAGGGCAAGCCCUUCUCUAGCUCUGCUUAUCAUCUAGUGAAAUUGCACGUUGGAUGUUAAAUAUUUAUAAGGAUCACACGGAAGUGAAGCUUAUAAACAUUCUUGGCAAGAGCUAAGCAUUUAAUAAGUUCUUCCGUAUGAUCUGCAGUCAAAGGAAACUUGUAUUAACAUUUAUGGUUUCUCUGGGGUUUAGAAUAAAAUACCAACACAGGAUAUAAUAAAAACAGGAAAUUUGA